CAAAGUUUUCCACUAGAUCCAAUCCAAAAGUAGCUAUUCUAAUAGCAAUGAGAAAGCCGGAUCUAAUGGGGAAAGAGAGAGGAGUGAACAAUAACAAGGCUAAGCUUAGAAAAGGGUUAUGGUCACCUGAGGAAGAUGAGAAGCUCAUCAAGUACAUGUUAACUAAUGGACAAGGUUGCUGGAGUGAUAUUGCUAGGAAUGCUGGCUUGCACAGAUGUGGAAAGAGUUGUCGUCUUCGUUGGAUUAACUAUUUGAGACCUGACCUAAAGAGAGGUGCUUUUUCCCCUCAAGAAGAAGAGCUGAUUAUCCAUUUGCACUCCAUUCUUGGCAACAGGUCCCUUCUCCAUUCCUCUUUUAAACUUAUCAUAUGAAACCCUAGCUAGAGAUUCCAAAGCUUAUGUUUUAGGUCAUCUUUCUUGCUUUUGAUUGUGUAUUCUUUAUAUCGAUGAAGAUGCUAGUCUUGGACAAUUCAUACGCUUAUAGUGACAUGAAAUGGAGAUGAAAAGAGAGCAUUUGUAGAAUGUCAAUGCAAAUUCUUGAAAUGUCUAUUGGGUAUUUUUAGUUUUCUUCUUUUAUUUUCUUAACAAGGAGUCUUUAAUUUGAGCAUUUGUCACAAUUAAUGUAAAUUAAUUACUUGCUUGCCUUCUUUCUUUUAGUUUGUAUAGCAUUAGCAUCUUAAGGCCAUUAAUUGUUGGGUCAAUUCCAUAUUCAAUCUGCACUCAUAGCCUUAGAUAAGUCUAACCUUCAAGAAAAUGCAUAUCUUCAAGCUACAUUUAUGUGCUUUUCUAUUAUUAUUAGGAAGAAAAAGAUUCUCUUAAUUUGAAAAUCAAGAAGAUCAAAUAUAUAUUCUUGUAAUAUAUUUUUUCUUGUUUCAUGCCACAUCUUACCCUCUUUUGGGGUGUUAUCUCUUUUUGUUUUAUUCUCAUUCUUCAGUAAAUUUAUUUUGCUUAUAAAAGAAAAUCAACAUCUCUUGCCUUUUCCAAAGCAAUAAAAAUCUCAGUCAACCUUGGAAAAUAGCAAUUUUGGCUUUUCGUUUUUCUAAUUUGCUUUGAAACUUCCAUGCACUUAUAAAUUUAUUUUCACUUUCACAACUUUUUUUAAUUAGCUAGUAGGUAUUUUAUUUCCAUAAUCUUUCAUUCAAUAAAAAGAAUAUAAAAAGUUUCCAUGCAUGGUAGAGAUAUUAUAUUUGCAAUGGAAAAUCUACUCCAUUUAUUAAUGAGUUUUAUUUCAGUUGUACUAAAAUCAUAUUUGGAAUGGUAAGUCAGCGUGAGUUAUAUAUAAAAAAAACAAAUAUAUUCUAUUUUAUAUCUAUAUAUGCACACUUCGUGAUUGUCUCAUGCUGAAUUUUAUGUCUUAGAUUAUCAGGCGUUUUUUAAGGCAUGGCAGAUACAGACUAUAAUGAUCCGAAAGGGAAAUGUGGACGUGUGGCUGUGCUAGAGCUUGACCUUUCCUAUUCAUUUUUCUAUACCCUAACCAUAUCCAUUCAAAUCCAUGCAUUUGAAAACUUGUAAAUAUAUAUAGAAAGCUCAUACAUAUUCUUGUAUAUAGCCCACUAAUUCUCUUCUGAUUUUGUGUUUGUUAUUUGUACUUUAUAGUUAAUCAUAUUUAUGUUGAAUAUUAUUUCAGAUGGUCUCAAAUUGCGGCUCGUCUUCCUGGAAGGACAGACAACGAAAUAAAGAAUUUUUGGAACUCCACGUUGAAGAAAAGACUCAAGCUUAUUAGUAAUAACAAUCCUUCCACAAGCUCACCAAAUAAUGAUAGUGAUUCCUCAGUGCCUAGAGAUCCUGUCAUAGGAAAUAUCAUGCCUAUGCACAAUGAUGAUCAGGACCUAAUCGCCAUGUGCAUGGACUCAUCUUCUUCAUCAUCAGCAUCCAUCCAAGCCAUCGUUGCCGGCGGUGGCAACCAGUUCGAUCCUUUCUUAAUCCUUAAUAAUUAUCAGUUCGACGGGACCGGGGCUGCUGCUCUAUUUGACAUGUCUACAUGCUUAACUCAGGUGGGCAUGGGAGAUGGAUUUUAUGGUGAUUGUGGGAUUUUAGAGAAUCAUCAUAAUAAGAUUGGGAUAGAAAGGGACCUUUGUGUUCCUCCACUAGAGAGUAGUAGAAGUAUUGAAGAGGAGGAAAAGAAGAAUAAUAAUAAUGCUGUAACUAAUCACAGCAUUAUUAGCGUGAAAAGCAAUAUCAACAAUAACAUCAACAACCACUUGAACAAUAAUAAUUCUUGCUUCAAUAACACUGAUCAUCAUCACCAUCAUCAGAACUUAAAAGUAGAGGACAUGUUUGGGUUUGAAAAUCAUUGGCAAGGAGAAAACUUAAGAAUGGGAGAAUGGGAUUUGGAGGGUUUGAUGGAAAACAUUUCUUCCUUUCCUUUCCUUGAUUUCCAAGUUGAAUAAACCUGCCACAUUUUGAGCUCUCUCUUUCUCCUUCUCUCUCUCCCCUUAAUCCAAGAAUGUGCUAGGAAAUUUUGGGCAUGCACAUUCUUUUUCAAAUCAGACACUACUGCAUUCUUCUUCUUGAUAUCUCUGAAACCUUUCUUUCUCAGCCUUAUAUACUAUUUCUUUAAUUUCUUUGUUGUUGGUCAGAUGAUGAAUCUGCAAUAAAAUAUUGCGAAGUGGAGAAUAUAUAUAUAUAUAUGUAUUGGGUGGGUAUGUAGAGAGAUUCUCGUAUACGAUGGAGUAGUAGUUUCAAUUUCUUUGCAAGAGGCAAAACCUUGGAUUCAUUUCUUGGGGUGCAAUAAUCAUCGUUCCCUAUCAAGAGAAAUGUGAAUAGAAUAGGAGAGAAAGUGUAUAUGAGGAAAUAAAAGAUUAGUUGGCGAUCCCAAUUGUAGUUACUUUCUUGUACAAACAAGGAAAUAAUGAAGAGGGUCCAUGUUUUUAGUUAAAGAUACAAUACACGCUUUGUAAACACUCACUAAUAAGAAAUUUCAUGCAAUAUUUUCUCUUUUUAUCUACUUAUCUAUGUAUAUCUACAUAACAGUCUAAUAUAGCUUUUCCGAAAGUAUAUCAUUCACUUUGAUAGAGUUAA
This 3020-nucleotide unclassified non-coding RNA is filed under the name Hevea brasiliensis (rubber tree). The record is from RNAcentral. Lineage: Eukaryota; Viridiplantae; Streptophyta; Magnoliopsida; Malpighiales; Euphorbiaceae.